AACGCUGGCGGCAGGCUUAACACAUGCAAGUCGAACGGGCACUUCGGUGCUAGUGGCAGACGGGUGAGUAACACGUGGGAACGUACCUUUCGGUUCGGAAUAACUCAGGGAAACUUGAACUAAUACCGGAUACGCCCUUCGGGGGAAAGAUUUAUCGCCGAUAGAUCGGCCCGCGUCUGAUUAGCUAGUUGGUGAGGUAAUGGCUCACCAAGGCGACGAUCAGUAGCUGGUCUGAGAGGAUGAUCAGCCACAUUGGGACUGAGACACGGCCCAAACUCCUACGGGAGGCAGCAGUGGGGAAUAUUGGACAAUGGGCGCAAGCCUGAUCCAGCCAUGCCGCGUGAGUGAUGAAGGCCUUAGGGUUGUAAAGCUCUUUUGUCCGGGAAGAUAAUGACUGUACCGGAAGAAUAAGCCCCGGCUAACUUCGUGCCAGCAGCCGCGGUAAUACGAAGGGGGCUAGCGUUGCUCGGAAUCACUGGGCGUAAAGGGCGCGUAGGCGGACUCUUAAGUCGGGGGUGAAAGCCCAGGGCUCAACCCUGGAAUUGCCUUCGAUACUGGGAGUCUUGAGUUCGGAAGAGGUUGGUGGAACUGCGAGUGUAGAGGUGAAA
This 608-nucleotide ribosomal RNA is filed under the name Allobosea sp. N59. RNAcentral's name for it is "bacterial SSU rRNA". It matches the Rfam family "Bacterial small subunit ribosomal RNA", at positions 32 to 686 of the family's 1533-position model. Lineage: Bacteria; Pseudomonadati; Pseudomonadota; Alphaproteobacteria; Hyphomicrobiales; Alloboseaceae. The record is from RNAcentral.